UCCGUACGGGGAAGGAUGAGAAGCUUCGACUAAGGUUCGAUUCGAGCGAAAGCGAGAAAGCGUUGCCGCAGGCAACGACCCGAAGGGCGAAGCGCGCAGCGCUGAGUCAUCCUUCCCCCACCACCA
This 126-nucleotide small RNA is filed under the name Salmonella enterica subsp. enterica serovar Senftenberg. RNAcentral's name for it is "partial RtT sRNA". It matches the Rfam family "RtT RNA". From Rfam's summary of the family: This family represents a bacterial cis-regulatory element known as RtT RNA. The exact function of RtT is unknown although it is thought that it may be involved in changing the cellular response in relation to amino acid starvation. Lineage: Bacteria; Pseudomonadati; Pseudomonadota; Gammaproteobacteria; Enterobacterales; Enterobacteriaceae. The record is from RNAcentral. RNAcentral also lists the same sequence under 2 other names.